This 370-nucleotide ribosomal RNA is filed under the name uncultured bacterium. Its description in RNAcentral is "partial 16S ribosomal RNA". It matches the Rfam family "Bacterial small subunit ribosomal RNA", at positions 338 to 723 of the family's 1533-position model. The record is from RNAcentral.
CCUACGGGAGGCAGCAGUGGGGAAUAUUGGGCAAUGGGCGCAAGCCUGACCCAGCAACGCCGCGUGAAGGAAGAAGGCUUUCGGGUUGUAAACUUCUUUUAAGAGAGAAGAGCAGAAGACGGUACCUCUUGAAUAAGCCACGGCUAACUACGUGCCAGCAGCCGCGGUAAUACGUAGGUGGCAAGCGUUGUCCGUAUUUACGGGGUGUAAAGGGCGUGCAGCGGGGAAGACACGUCAGAUGGGAAUGCCCGCGGCUAAACAGCGGAACUGCAUUGAAAACUGUUUUUCUUGAUGACGGGAGAGGACAUCGGAAUUCCUGGGGUGGCGGGGAAAUGCGUAAAAAUAAGGAAGAACACCAUUGGCGAAGGCG